Molecule: ribosomal RNA, 400 nt
Filed under: uncultured bacterium
Lineage: Bacteria
Description: bacterial SSU rRNA
Rfam family: Bacterial small subunit ribosomal RNA
Source: RNAcentral
GGGGAAUAUUGGACAAUGGGGGAAACCCUGAUCCAGCAAUGCCGCGUGGGUGAUGAAGGCCUUCGGGUUGUAAAGCCCUUUUGGCGGGGACGAUGAUGACGGUACCCGCAGAAGAAGCCCCGGCUAACUUCGUGCCAGCAGCCGCGGUAAUACGAAGGGGGCUAGCGCUGUUCGGAAUUACUGGGCGUAAAGCGCACGUAGGCGGCUUUGUAAGUUAGAGGUGAAAGCCCGGGGCUCAACUCCGGAAUUGCCUUUAAGACUGCAUCGCUAGAAUUGUGGAGAGGUAAGUGGAAUUCCGAGUGUAGAGGUGAAAUUCGUAGAUAUUCGGAAGAACACCAGUGGCGAAGGCGACUUACUGGACACAUAUUGACGCUGAGGUGCGAAAGCGUGGGGAGCAAAC